UACGUAGGGGGCAAGCGUUGUCCGGAAUCAUUGGGCGUAAAGCGCGCGUAGGCGGCCCGAUAAGUCCGCUGUAAAAGUCCAGGGCUCAACCCUGGAAUGCCGGUGGAUACUGUCGGGCUAGAGUCCGGAAGAGGCGAGUGGAAUUCCUGGUGUAGCGGUGGAAUGCGCAGAGAUCAGGAGGAACACCCAUGGCGAAGGCAGCUCUCUGGUCGACCUCUGACGCUGAGACGCGAAAGCGUGGGGAGCGAACGGG
RNAcentral lists this ribosomal RNA (253 nucleotides) under uncultured bacterium. RNAcentral describes it as "partial 16S ribosomal RNA". It matches the Rfam family "Bacterial small subunit ribosomal RNA", at positions 524 to 776 of the family's 1533-position model. The record is from RNAcentral.